GACGAACGCUGGCGGCGUGCCUAAUACAUGCAAGUCGAACGCAGUGGGGACGGGUGAGUAACACGUGGGUAACCUCCCAUCAGAGGGGAUAACACUUGGAAACAGGUGCUAAAACGCUAUUGAUGGAUGGACCCGCGGUGCAUUAGCUAGGUGGUGAGGUAACGGCUCACCAAGGCCACGAUGCAUAGCCGGGCUUAGAGGGUGACAGGUCACACUGGGACUGACACAGGGCCCAGCCACCUACGGAAGGCAGCAGUAGGGAAUCAUCGGCAAUGGACGAAAGUCUGACCGAGCAAGGCCGCGUGAGUGAAGAAGGUUUGCGGAACGGAAAACUCUGUUGUUAGGGAAGCGGUAUCUAACCAGAAAGCCACGGCUAACUACGUGCCAGCAGCCGCGGUAAUAC
Molecule: ribosomal RNA, 403 nt
Filed under: uncultured bacterium
Lineage: Bacteria
Description: partial 16S ribosomal RNA
Rfam family: Bacterial small subunit ribosomal RNA
Source: RNAcentral